Molecule: ribosomal RNA, 429 nt
Filed under: Chloroflexota bacterium
Lineage: Bacteria; Bacillati; Chloroflexota
Description: Chloroflexi bacterium partial 16S ribosomal RNA
Rfam family: Bacterial small subunit ribosomal RNA
Source: RNAcentral
UGGGGAAUAUUGCACAAUGGGCGCAAGCCUGAUGCAGCCAUGCCGCGUGUAUGAAGAAGGCCUUCGGGUUGUAAAGUACUUUCAGUCGGGAGGAAGGUGGUAAGGUUAAUAACCUUAUCAAUUGACGUUACCGACAGAAGAAGCACCGGCUAACUCCGUGCCAGCAGCCGCGGUAAUACGGAGGGUGCAAGAGUUAAUCGGAAUUACUGGGCGUAAAGCGCACGCAGGCGGUUGAUUGAGUCAGAUGUGAAAUCCCCGGGCUUAACCCGGGAAUUGCAUCUGAUACUGGUCAGCUAGAGUCUUGUAGAGGGGGGUAGAAUUCCAUGUGUAGCGGUGAAAUGCGUAGAGAUGUGGAGGAAUACCGGUGGCGAAGGCGGCCCCCUGGACAAAGACUGACGCUCAGGUGCGAAAGCGUGGGGAGCAAACAGG